AGCGUACACGGUGGAUGCCCUGGCAGUCAGAGGCGAUGAAGGACGUGCUAAUCUGCGAUAAGCGUCGGUAAGGUGAUAUGAACCGUUAUAACCGGCGAUUUCCGAAUGGGGAAACCCAGUGUGAUUCGUCACACUAUCAUUAACUGAAUCCAUAGGUUAAUGAGGCGAACCGGGGGAACUGAAACAUCUAAGUACCCCGAGGAAAAGAAAUCAACCGAGAUUCCCCCAGUAGCGGCGAGCGAACGGGGAGCAGCCCAGAGCCUGAAUCAGUGUGUGUGUUAGUGGAAGCGUCUGGAAAGGCGCGCGAUACAGGGUGACAGCCCCGUACACAAAAAUGCACAUGCUGUGAGCUCGAUGAGUAGGGCGGGACACGUGGUAUCCUGUCUGAAUAUGGGGGGACCAUCCUCCAAGGCUAAAUACUCCUGACUGACCGAUAGUGAACCAGUACCGUGAGGGAAAGGCGAAAAGAACCCCGGCGAGGGGAGUGAAAAAGAACCUGAAACCGUGUACGUACAAGCAGUGGGAGCACAGAGCAAUCUGUGUGACUGCGUACCUUUUGUAUAAUGGGUCAGCGACUUAUAUUCUGUAGCAAGGUUAACCGAAUAGGGGAGCCGAAGGGAAACCGAGUCUUAACUGGGCGUUAAGUUGCAGGGUAUAGACCCGAAACCCGGUGAUCUAGCCAUGGGCAGGUUGAAGGUUGGGUAACACUAACUGGAGGACCGAACCGACUAAUGUUGAAAAAUUAGCGGAUGACUUGUGGCUGGGGGUGAAAGGCCAAUCAAACCGGGAGAUAGCUGGUUCUCCCCGAAAGCUAUUUAGGUAGCGCCUCGUGAAUUCAUCUCCGGGGGUAGAGCACUGUUUCGGCAAGGGGGUCAUCCCGACUUACCAACCCGAUGCAAACUGCGAAUACCGGAGAAUGUUAUCACGGGAGACACACGGCGGGUGCUAACGUCCGUCGUGAAGAGGGAAACAACCCAGACCGCCAGCUAAGGUCCCAAAGUCAUGGUUAAGUGGGAAACGAUGUGGGAAGGCCCAGACAGCCAGGAUGUUGGCUUAGAAGCAGCCAUCAUUUAAAGAAAGCGUAAUAGCUCACUGGUCGAGUCGGCCUGCGCGGAAGAUGUAACGGGGCUAAACCAUGCACCGAAGCUGCGGCAGCGACGCUGAUGCGUUGUUGGGUAGGGGAGCGUUCUGUAAGCCUGUGAAGGUGUGCUGUGAGGCAUGCUGGAGGUAUCAGAAGUGCGAAUGCUGACAUAAGUAACGAUAAAGCGGGUGAAAAGCCCGCUCGCCGGAAGACCAAGGGUUCCUGUCCAACGUUAAUCGGGGCAGGGUGAGUCGACCCCUAAGGCGAGGCCGAAAGGCGUAGUCGAUGGGAAACAGGUUAAUAUUCCUGUACUUGGUGUUACUGCGAAGGGGGGACGGAGAAGGCUAUGUUGGCCGGGCGACGGUUGUCCCGGUUUAAGCGUGUAGGCUGGUUUUCCAGGCAAAUCCGGAAAAUCAAGGCUGAGGCGUGAUGACGAGGCACUACGGUGCUGAAGCAACAAAUGCCCUGCUUCCAGGAAAAGCCUCUAAGCAUCAGGUAACAUCAAAUCGUACCCCAAACCGACACAGGUGGUCAGGUAGAGAAUACCAAGGCGCUUGAGAGAACUCGGGUGAAGGAACUAGGCAAAAUGGUGCCGUAACUUCGGGAGAAGGCACGCUGAUAUGUAGGUGAAGUCCCUCGCGGAUGGAGCUGAAAUCAGUCGAAGAUACCAGCUGGCUGCAACUGUUUAUUAAAAACACAGCACUGUGCAAACACGAAAGUGGACGUAUACGGUGUGACGCCUGCCCGGUGCCGGAAGGUUAAUUGAUGGGGUCAGCGCAAGCGAAGCUCUUGAUCGAAGCCCCGGUAAACGGCGGCCGUAACUAUAACGGUCCUAAGGUAGCGAAAUUCCUUGUCGGGUAAGUUCCGACCUGCACGAAUGGCGUAAUGAUGGCCAGGCUGUCUCCACCCGAGACUCAGUGAAAUUGAACUCGCUGUGAAGAUGCAGUGUACCCGCGGCAAGACGGAAAGACCCCGUGAACCUUUACUAUAGCUUGACACUGAACAUUGAGCCUUGAUGUGUAGGAUAGGUGGGAGGCUUUGAAGUGUGGACGCCAGUCUGCAUGGAGCCGACCUUGAAAUACCACCCUUUAAUGUUUGAUGUUCUAACGUUGACCCGUAAUCCGGGUUGCGGACAGUGUCUGGUGGGUAGUUUGACUGGGGCGGUCUCCUCCUAAAGAGUAACGGAGGAGCACGAAGGUUGGCUAAUCCUGGUCGGACAUCAGGAGGUUAGUGCAAUGGCAUAAGCCAGCUUGACUGCGAGCGUGACGGCGCGAGCAGGUGCGAAAGCAGGUCAUAGUGAUCCGGUGGUUCUGAAUGGAAGGGCCAUCGCUCAACGGAUAAAAGGUACUCCGGGGAUAACAGGCUGAUACCGCCCAAGAGUUCAUAUCGACGGCGGUGUUUGGCACCUCGAUGUCGGCUCAUCACAUCCUGGGGCUGAAGUAGGUCCCAAGGGUAUGGCUGUUCGCCAUUUAAAGUGGUACGCGAGCUGGGUUUAGAACGUCGUGAGACAGUUCGGUCCCUAUCUGCCGUGGGCGCUGGAGAACUGAGGGGGGCUGCUCCUAGUACGAGAGGACCGGAGUGGACGCAUCACUGGUGUUCGGGUUGUCAUGCCAAUGGCACUGCCCGGUAGCUAAAUGCGGAAGAGAUAAGUGCUGAAAGCAUCUAAGCACGAAACUUGCCCCGAGAUGAGUUCUCCCUGACUCCUUGA
Molecule: ribosomal RNA, 2789 nt
Filed under: Escherichia coli
Lineage: Bacteria; Pseudomonadati; Pseudomonadota; Gammaproteobacteria; Enterobacterales; Enterobacteriaceae
Description: bacterial LSU rRNA
Rfam family: Bacterial large subunit ribosomal RNA
Source: RNAcentral